Molecule: ribosomal RNA, 860 nt
Filed under: uncultured bacterium
Lineage: Bacteria
Description: partial 16S rRNA
Rfam family: Bacterial small subunit ribosomal RNA
Source: RNAcentral
UACGGGGGGCGCAAGCGUUACUCGGAAUCACUGGGCGUAAAGGGCGCGUAGGCGGUCUAAUAAGUCAGAUGUGAAAGCCCACAGCUCAACUGUGGAACUGCAUUUGAAACUGUUAGACUAGAGUCCGGGAGAGGUGGAUGGAAUUAGUGGUGUAGGGGUAAAAUCCGUAGAGAUCACUAGGAAUACCGAUUGCGAAGGCGAUCCACUGGAACGGAACUGACGCUGAGGCGCGAAAGCGUGGGGAGCAAACAGGAUUAGAUACCCUGGUAGUCCACGCCCUAAACGAUGGAUGCUAGUCGUUGUGGUGCUAGACACCGCAGUGAUGCAGCUAACGCAAUAAGCAUCCCGCCUGGGGAGUACGGCCGCAAGGUUAAAACUCAAAGGAAUAGACGGGGACCCGCACAAGCGGUGGAGCAUGUGGUUUAAUUCGAAGAUACGCGAAGAACCUUACCUGGCCUUGACAUCCCGCGAACCCUGCAGAGAUGCGGGGGUGCUACUUUUUGUAGAGCGCGGAGACAGGUGCUGCACGGCUGUCGUCAGCUCGUGUCGUGAGAUGUUGGGUUAAGUCCCGCAACGAGCGCAACCCUCGCCCUUAGUUGCUAGCGGUUCGGCCGAGCACUCUAAGGGGACUGCCCGGGCAACCGGGAGGAAGGUGAGGAUGACGUCAAGUCAUCAUGGCCCUUACGGCCAGGGCGACACACGUGCUACAAUGGGUAGGACAAAGAGAGGCGAUACCGCGAGGUGGAGCAAAUCUCAAAACCUACUCUCAGUUCGGAUUGCAGUCUGCAACUCGACUGCAUGAAGCUGGAAUCGCUAGUAAUCGCGGAUCAGCCAUGCCGCGGUGAAUACGUUCCCGGGUC